GACGAACGCUGGCGGUGUGCUUAACACAUGCAAGUCGAACGGUAAGGCCCUUUCGGGGGUACACGAGUGGCGAACGGGUGAGUAACACGUGAGUAACCUGCCCUCAUCUCUGGGAUAACAGUCGGAAACGGUUGCUAAUACUGGAUAUGAGCUUGCAAGGCAUCUUGUGGGUUGGAAAGAUUUUUUUUGGUUGGGGAUGGACUCGCGGCCUAUCAGCUUGUUGGUGAGGUAGUGGCUCACCAAGGCUUCGACGGGUAGCCGGCCUGAGAGGGCGACCGGCCACAUUGGGACUGAGAUACGGCCCAAACUCCUACGGGAGGCAGCAGUGGGGAAUAUUGGACAAUGGACGGAAGUCUGAUGCAGCAACGCCGCGUGCGGGAUGACGGCCUUCGGGUUGUAAACCGCUUUCAAUUGUGACGAAGCUUUUUUGUGACGGUAGCAGUAGAAGAAGCACCGGCUAACUACGUG
Molecule: ribosomal RNA, 468 nt
Filed under: uncultured bacterium
Lineage: Bacteria
Description: partial 16S ribosomal RNA
Rfam family: Bacterial small subunit ribosomal RNA
Source: RNAcentral